GGGUUGUGAGGUUAAGCGACUAAGCGUACACGGUGGAUGCCCUGGCAGUCAGAGGCGAUGAAGGACGUGCUAAUCUGCGAUAAGCGUCGGUAAGGUGAUAUGAACCGUUAUAACCGGCGAUUUCCGAAUGGGGAAACCCAGUGUGAUUCGUCACACUAUCAUUAACUGAAUCCAUAGGUUAAUGAGGCGAACCGGGGGAACUGAAACAUCUAAGUACCCCGAGGAAAAGAAAUCAACCGAGAUUCCCCCAGUAGCGGCGAGCGAACGGGGAGCAGCCCAGAGCCUGAAUCAGUGUGUGUGUUAGUGGAAGCGUCUGGAAAGGCGUGCGAUACAGGGUGACAGCCCCGUACACAAAAAUGCACAUGCUGUGAGCUCGAUGAGUAGGGCGGGACACGUGGUAUCCUGUCUGAAUAUGGGGGGACCAUCCUCCAAGGCUAAAUACUCCUGACUGACCGAUAGUGAACCAGUACCGUGAGGGAAAGGCGAAAAGAACCCCGGCGAGGGGAGUGAAAAAGAACCUGAAACCGUGUACGUACAAGCAGUGGGAGCACAGAGCAAUCUGUGUGACUGCGUACCUUUUGUAUAAUGGGUCAGCGACUUAUAUUCUGUAGCAAGGUUAACCGAAUAGGGGAGCCGAAGGGAAACCGAGUCUUAACUGGGCGUUAAGUUGCAGGGUAUAGACCCGAAACCCGGUGAUCUAGCCAUGGGCAGGUUGAAGGUUGGGUAACACUAACUGGAGGACCGAACCGACUAAUGUUGAAAAAUUAGCGGAUGACUUGUGGCUGGGGGUGAAAGGCCAAUCAAACCGGGAGAUAGCUGGUUCUCCCCGAAAGCUAUUUAGGUAGCGCCUCGUGAAUUCAUCUCCGGGGGUAGAGCACUGUUUCGGCAAGGGGGUCAUCCCGACUUACCAACCCGAUGCAAACUGCGAAUACCGGAGAAUGUUAUCACGGGAGACACACGGCGGGUGCUAACGUCCGUCGUGAAGAGGGAAACAACCCAGACCGCCAGCUAAGGUCCCAAAGUCAUGGUUAAGUGGGAAACGAUGUGGGAAGGCCCAGACAGCCAGGAUGUUGGCUUAGAAGCAGCCAUCAUUUAAAGAAAGCGUAAUAGCUCACUGGUCGAGUCGGCCUGCGCGGAAGAUGUAACGGGGCUAAACCAUGCACCGAAGCUGCGGCAGCGACGCUUAUGCGUUGUUGGGUAGGGGAGCGUUCUGUAAGCCUGCGAAGGUGUGCUGUGAGGCAUGCUGGAGGUAUCAGAAGUGCGAAUGCUGACAUAAGUAACGAUAAAGCGGGUGAAAAGCCCGCUCGCCGGAAGACCAAGGGUUCCUGUCCAACGUUAAUCGGGGCAGGGUGAGUCGACCCCUAAGGCGAGGCCGAAAGGCGUAGUCGAUGGGAAACAGGUUAAUAUUCCUGUACUUGGUGUUACUGCGAAGGGGGGACGGAGAAGGCUAUGUUGGCCGGGCGACGGUUGUCCCGGUUUAAGCGUGUAGGCUGGUUUUCCAGGCAAAUCCGGAAAAUCAAGGCUGAGGCGUGAUGACGAGGCACUACGGUGCUGAAGCAACAAAUGCCCUGCUUCCAGGAAAAGCCUCUAAGCAUCAGGUAACAUCAAAUCGUACCCCAAACCGACACAGGUGGUCAGGUAGAGAAUACCAAGGCGCUUGAGAGAACUCGGGUGAAGGAACUAGGCAAAAUGGUGCCGUAACUUCGGGAGAAGGCACGCUGAUAUGUAGGUGAAGUCCCUCGCGGAUGGAGCUGAAAUCAGUCGAAGAUACCAGCUGGCUGCAACUGUUUAUUAAAAACACAGCACUGUGCAAACACGAAAGUGGACGUAUACGGUGUGACGCCUGCCCGGUGCCGGAAGGUUAAUUGAUGGGGUUAGCGCAAGCGAAGCUCUUGAUCGAAGCCCCGGUAAACGGCGGCCGUAACUAUAACGGUCCUAAGGUAGCGAAAUUCCUUGUCGGGUAAGUUCCGACCUGCACGAAUGGCGUAAUGAUGGCCAGGCUGUCUCCACCCGAGACUCAGUGAAAUUGAACUCGCUGUGAAGAUGCAGUGUACCCGCGGCAAGACGGAAAGACCCCGUGAACCUUUACUAUAGCUUGACACUGAACAUUGAGCCUUGAUGUGUAGGAUAGGUGGGAGGCUUUGAAGUGUGGACGCCAGUCUGCAUGGAGCCGACCUUGAAAUACCACCCUUUAAUGUUUGAUGUUCUAACGUUGACCCGUAAUCCGGGUUGCGGACAGUGUCUGGUGGGUAGUUUGACUGGGGCGGUCUCCUCCUAAAGAGUAACGGAGGAGCACGAAGGUUGGCUAAUCCUGGUCGGACAUCAGGAGGUUAGUGCAAUGGCAUAAGCCAGCUUGACUGCGAGCGUGACGGCGCGAGCAGGUGCGAAAGCAGGUCAUAGUGAUCCGGUGGUUCUGAAUGGAAGGGCCAUCGCUCAACGGAUAAAAGGUACUCCGGGGAUAACAGGCUGAUACCGCCCAAGAGUUCAUAUCGACGGCGGUGUUUGGCACCUCGAUGUCGGCUCAUCACAUCCUGGGGCUGAAGUAGGUCCCAAGGGUAUGGCUGUUCGCCAUUUAAAGUGGUACGCGAGCUGGGUUUAGAACGUCGUGAGACAGUUCGGUCCCUAUCUGCCGUGGGCGCUGGAGAAUUGAGGGGGGCUGCUCCUAGUACGAGAGGACCGGAGUGGACGCAUCACUGGUGUUCGGGUUGUCAUGCCAAUGGCACUGCCCGGUAGCUAAAUGCGGAAGAGAUAAGUGCUGAAAGCAUCUAAGCACGAAACUUGCCCCGAGAUGAGUUCUCCCUGACUCCUUGAGAGUCCUGAAGGAACGUUGAAGACGACGACGUUGAUAGGCCGGGUGUGUAAGCGCAGCGAUGCGUUGAGCUAACCGGUACUAAUGAACCGUGAGGCUUAACCUUACAACGCCGAAG
This 2927-nucleotide ribosomal RNA is filed under the name Escherichia coli. Its description in RNAcentral is "bacterial LSU rRNA". It matches the Rfam family "Bacterial large subunit ribosomal RNA". The record is from RNAcentral. Lineage: Bacteria; Pseudomonadati; Pseudomonadota; Gammaproteobacteria; Enterobacterales; Enterobacteriaceae.